Megalops cyprinoides (Indo-Pacific tarpon) is the source of this 136-nucleotide small nucleolar RNA. RefSeq annotates it as small nucleolar RNA SNORA84. NCBI's taxonomy places the organism in Eukaryota, Metazoa, Chordata, Actinopteri, Elopiformes, Megalopidae. The transcript has a single exon. The record is from RefSeq and is a predicted model, not a curated record.
GCCCUGUGGUUCCUGGAAUCUGUUAUUCUGUGCAGCUUUCCAGGCUUGGAAAAAGGGCAUAGAUUAAUUCUGUGAUUUUUGCGUGGAGCCUGCAUAUUUUCAUGUCAGUCUCCAUAGCCCGGUCACAGGAACAUUU